CCACCUGCCAAAUAAAAAUGCAAUUCAAUAUAUACAUCCCUCAUGCAACACACAUUAUUAUAAUAAUCAUACAACACACUACAUCAACAAAUCAUUCAAGCAAUUCAAAUCAACAACACUUAAACAAUGAAUCCAACAACAUUCAAAAUACUUAAAACAAUCCUAAAGAUUUUUCACUAAUUAAAAGCUAAGUUCAAAAUAUCUAAAAAUUAUCUAAAAGUCAAGUCCAACAACACUAACGAGCCCCAACAAACUUUUCAUCACUAUCUGUUUCCUCUUCGCUACUUGAAUCAGGAGCAACGGCCUGUGCUAAGGCCCGUCUAAGAUGUGCAAUCUGAUGUGACAUAGUAGCAUGUUUCUCAAAAAUUGUAGAAAUGACCUGAUCGUGCUUUGUCAACCAACAACACAUNNNN
RNAcentral lists this long non-coding RNA (413 nucleotides) under Capsicum annuum. RNAcentral describes it as "long non-coding RNA (CANN_LNC004847)". Lineage: Eukaryota; Viridiplantae; Streptophyta; Magnoliopsida; Solanales; Solanaceae. The record is from RNAcentral.